This 77-nucleotide transfer RNA is filed under the name Octadecabacter arcticus 238. RNAcentral describes it as "tRNA-Gly". It matches the Rfam family "tRNA". Rfam says of the family: Transfer RNA (tRNA) molecules are approximately 80 nucleotides in length. Their secondary structure includes four short double-helical elements and three loops (D, anti-codon, and T loops). Lineage: Bacteria; Pseudomonadati; Pseudomonadota; Alphaproteobacteria; Rhodobacterales; Roseobacteraceae. The record is from RNAcentral.
UGGCGGGUAUGGUGAAAAGGUAUCACGAAAGCUUCCCAAGCUUCAGUUACGAGUUCGAUUCUCGUUACCCGCUCCAC